Molecule: ribosomal RNA, 513 nt
Filed under: Bacillus cereus
Lineage: Bacteria; Bacillati; Bacillota; Bacilli; Caryophanales; Bacillaceae
Description: bacterial SSU rRNA
Rfam family: Bacterial small subunit ribosomal RNA
Source: RNAcentral
CGGCAGUCUGACUGAGCCCGCCGCGUGAGUGAUGAAGGCUUUCGGGUCGUAAAACUCUGUUGUUAGGGAAGAACAUGUGCUAGUUGAAUAAGCUGGCCCCUUGUCGGUUCCUGCCCACAACCGCACGGCUAACUACGUGCCUACCGCCGCGGUAAUACGUAGGUGGCAAGCGUUAUCCGGAAUUAUUGGGCGUACAGGGCGCGCAUGUGGUUUCUUAACUCUGAUGUGAAAGCCCACGGCUCAAGUCUGGAGGGUCAUUGAAAACUGUGAAACUUGAAUGCAAAAGAUGAAAUUGGAAUUCCUUGUGUAGCGCUGAAAUGCGUAAAGAUAUGGAGGAACACCAGUGGCGAACGCGACUUUCUGGUCUGUAACUGACACUGAGGCGCGAAACCGUGGGGAGCAAACAGGAUUACAUACCCUGGUAGUCCACGCCGUAAACGAUGAGUGCUAAGUGUUAGAGGGUUUCCGCCCUUUAGGCUGAAGUGAACGCAUUAAGCACUCCGCCGGGGGAGA